RNAcentral lists this long non-coding RNA (7789 nucleotides) under Gossypium barbadense (sea-island cotton). RNAcentral's name for it is "long non-coding RNA (GBAR_LNC014315)". Lineage: Eukaryota; Viridiplantae; Streptophyta; Magnoliopsida; Malvales; Malvaceae. The record is from RNAcentral.
CCCGUUUUCGUUUAAAAUCGCUUAGCAAAAGGUUGUUUAACAUAAUUUCUAGCUUCAUAUUCCACCAUAAAACAGAAAAAUAAACACAUUUCACCUAUGGGUAUUUUUCCAAAUAUGAACCUUAGCACGAAUUAUUGCUAGAAUAAGCUAAAUUAAGCUACUGGGACUCCAAAAACGUAAAGAACAUUAAAAACGGGGCUUGGGAUCACUUACUAUGGAGCUUGGAAGCUUGAAAACCCUAACUAUGGCUUCCCCCUUGCUGAUUUCGUUCACCAUGAAGAAGAUGAGCAUAUUUUGCCAUCUUUUUCCCAUUUAAUUCUUUUUAAUUACCAAAUGACUAAAAUGCCAUUACUUAAAAAAAUCUAUUUCACUAAUUCUAUGCCCAUUUUUGUCCAUCAACUAACUAAUGGUCUAAUUACCACAUAAAGACCUCCAAUUUAAAAUUUCAUAACAAUUAGAUACCUCUAAGAUGUAGAACUCAACUUUUGCACUUUUUACAAUUUAGUCCUUUUGACUAAAUUGAGUGCCCAAACGUCGAAAUUUUCGAACGAAAUUUUUACGAAAAUUUUUCGUGAAAUUGUAGACCAUGAAAAUAUAAUAAUAACCAUAUUUUCUCUCAUCAGAUUUGUGGUCCCGAAACCACUGUUCCGACUAGGCCCAGAGUCGGGCUAUUACAAUUCCCCCUCUUAGGGAUUUUUGUCCCCGAAAAUCUUACCAGAAAAGAGGUUUGGGUACUGUUUCCUCAUAACUUCCUCCGGUUCCCACGUAGCUUCUUCCAUUCCAUGUUUUUGCCACAACACUUUCACUAAGGCUAUACUUUUAUUUCUCAACUGUUUGACCUCUUGAGCCAGAAUCUUUAUCGGUUCCUCCCCAUAAGUCAUAUCUGGUCGAACUUUAAUUUCUGUAGGAGAAACUAUAUGUGAAGGAUCAAAACGAUAGCGUCGCAACAUUGAUACAUGAAAUACAUUAUGUAUCUUUUCUAACUCUGCUGGCAAAGCUAACCGAUAAGCUACAGGUCCAAUUCUUUCAAUAACUUCAUAUGGUCCAAUAAAACGUGGACUCAAUUUGCCUUUACGGCCAAAUCUCAGAAUCUUCUUCCAUGGAGAUACUUUCAAAAACACUCUAUCACCCACUUGAAACUCAAUCUCUUUCCUCUUUAAAUCCGCAUAUGACUUUUGCCGAUCUGAAGCAGCCUUUAAGCAGUCACGGAUUAUUUUCACUUUUUCUUCAGUUUCUUUCACCAAGUCAACUUCGUGAAUCCGGUUCUCACCGAGCUCAGUCCAAUAUAAAGGAGUUCUACACUUACGCCUAUAUAAUGCUUCACACGGUGCCAUUCAUAUACUCGACUGAUAGCUAUUGUUGUAAGCAAAUUCAACCAAUGGUAGAUAUUUCUCCCAACUGCCUUUAAAUUCUAAAAUACAACACCGGAGCAUGUCUUCAAGAACUUGAAUCACUCUUUCCGAUUGCCCGUCAGUUUGCGGAUGAAACGCGGUACUAAAGUUCAAUUUUGUACCCAAAGCUUCCUGCAACUUUAUCCAAAACCUCGAAGUAAAUCUCGGAUCUCUAUCCGAUAUAACGGACUUAGGCACCCCGUGUAAUCUCACUAUUUCAGCAAAAUAUAACUCCGCCAACUUGUCAAGUGAGUAAUCAAUGCGUACAGGAAUGAAUUGGGCUGACUUUGUCAGUCUAUCAACAAUUACCCAAAUAGCAUCCUUCUUCUUUGGAGUCAAAGGCAAUCCUGUCACAAAAUCCAUCGUGAUACUUUCCCACUUCCACUCUGGAAUCAUUACCGGCUGAAGUAAACCCGAUGGUACUUGAUGCUCAGCUUUCACUUGUUGACAAAUUAAACACUUUGAUACAAAUUCCGAGAUAUCCUUUUUCAUGCCCGACCACCAAUACAAUUUCUUCAAAUCAUUAUACAUUUUCACACUACCUGGGUGAACUGACAAAUCACCACUAUGUGCCUCACAUAAAAUGGUCUGAAUUAACUCAUCAUUUCUCGGUACACAUACUCUAUCCCGGAACAUCAGGCAAUCAUCUGCACCAAUUUGAAAAUCUGAGUCAACACCUGCUUCACACUGAGCUCUCUUGGCUUGCAAUUUACUGUCAUUCUUUUGAGCUUCCCGAAUUUGCUGAAGAAAUAACGGUCCAGCUCUCAAUUCAGCCAACAUUGAGCCAUCAUCAAAUAAAGUUAAUCUCGUACCCAUAGCUCUCAAGGCAAAUAAAGAUUUUCUGCUUAAGGCAUCAGCAACCACAUUAGCUUUCCCGGGGUGAUAAUCAAUCACUAAUUCAUAGUCUUUAAUUAGUUCGAGCCAUCUUCUUUGCCGUAAAUUCAAGUCUUUUUGGCUCAUUAAAUACUUCAAGCUCUUAUGAUUAGUGAAGAUUCGACACUUUUCACCAUACAAAUAAUGACGCCAAAUUUUUAAAGCAAAAACAAUUGCAGCCAAUUCUAAAUCAUGCGUCGGAUAAUUCUUCUCGUGCAGUUUCAGCUGUCUUGAAGCAUAAGCUAUUACUUUGCCCUCUUGCAUUAACACACACCCAAGACCAUUCAACGAUGCAUCACUGAAAAUUACAAACUCCUUCCCGGACUCAGGUUGCACCAACACUGGCGCCUCAGUCAAUAAUGCCUUCAACUUCUCAAAACUCUGUUGACAUUUAUCGGUCCAUUCAAACUUGACAUUCUUUUGCAGUAACUUAGUCAUAGGAGAAGCAAUCAUCGAGAAUCCCUUGACAAAGCGUCUAUAAUACCCGGCUAAGCCCAGAAAGCUUCUAACUUCGGAUACAUUCUUUGGUGGUUCCCAAUCAACAAUUCCUGAAAUUUUGCUUGGAUCAACCCGAAUACCUUCACUUGAAACUAUAUGUCCCAAGAAUCCAACCUCACGAAGCCAAAACUCACUUUUGCUGAAUUUAGCAUACAAUUUCUUUUCUCUCAGAAUCUGCAACACAUUCCUCAAAUGUUCUGUAUGCUCGGAUUCAUCCCGUGAAUAAAUUAAAAUAUCAUCUAUGAACACUACCACAAAUUUAUCCAGAUACGGCCGAAAAAUUCGGUUCAUUAAAUCCAUAAAAAUAGCCGGAGCAUUAGUCAACCCAAAAGGCAUUACCAGAAAUUCAUAGUGUCCAUACCUCGUAAAAGCGGUUUUUUGCACAUCGGACUCUUUAACUCUCAACUGAUAGUAACCAGACCUCAGAUCGAUCUUUGAAAACACUGUUGCCCCUUUUAGUUGGUCAAACAAAUCAUCAAUUCUCGGCAAAUGAUACUUGUUCUUUAUAGUCACUUUGUUGAGCUGACGAUAGUCAAUACAAAGUCUCAUAGAGCCGUCCUUCUUUUUCACGAAUAGCACAAGAGCACCCCAAGAAGAAAAACUUGGCCUCACAAAUCCUUUAUCUGUCAAUUCUUGUAGUUGAGCUUUUAAUUCUUUCAAUUCAGUCAGAGCCAUCUGAUACGGAGCAAUAGAAAUCGGUGUAGUAUCCGGUAACAAGUCAAUAGCAAACUCAACUUCUCUAAUCGGAGGUAACCCAAGCAGCUCCUCUGGAAAUACGUCUGAAAAUUCACAAACUACCGGCACUGAUUCAAGCUUCGACCCAGUUAUACCAGUAUUCAACACAUAAGCAAGAUAAGCCUCACAUCCUUUUCUCAUGUAUUUCUGAGCAGAUAUGUGCGAAAUCACCAUAGGUAGUUUAUUCGGCUCCUCUGCCUCAACCCGAAGAAUUUCACCAUUUUCACACUUCAAUUCAAGGAUUUUCUGUCUACAAUUUACCUUGGCAUCAUGCAAUAUCAACCAAUCCAUCCCCAAAAUAACAUCAAACUCAUCAAAUGGUAACAACAUCAAAUUAGCCGGAAAACAGUGACCUCGAAUCAUCAAAGGACAAUUCUUGCAAACCUUAUCGACUAAGACAUAUUUGCCUAAAGGAUUUGAUACUUUAACCACAAAUUCAGUAUUUUCAAUAGGCAAUUUCUUACUAGAUACUAAAUGCACACAUACAUAUGAAUGAGUAGACCUAGGGUCAAUCAAAGCAACAACAUCAAUAUCAUAAAGAGAAAAUGUACCAGUAAUCACGUCGGGAGAUGAUGCAUCCUCACGAGCACGUAUGGCAUAAGUUCUGGCAAGCGCUCUAGUUUCUGAUCUCUCAGCUGUAUCUUUUGCCACACUUUUACCACUGACUUUGCUCCUAGUAUUCCUCGGUGGUCUACCUCUACUAAUAAUAUCACCCGAUCCAGCUCUUUGCAGUCUUUCUUCCUCUAUUCUCUCAGGGCAAUCUUUUUAUAUAGUGCUCUUGAGAACCACACCUGAAACAAGCUCAUUUAAAUCCCCAACACUCACCAGCAUGUCGCCUGCCACACUGUUGACACUUAGGUCUGGUAUUCCCCACAUUGCCUACACUGGCCACUGAGGUAGCUUGAGUUUUAGCUCCAGAAUAUGGUUUCCCUGGAUCUCUACGUGAAUACCCAGUUGUACCAGUUGGUCGUGGAUCCAUCCCUUUAAACUUCUUCGGUUGGGAUUGAAAGGUCCUGCUCAUUGACCUUUUUCUUAUAUCUCGAGCUUCCAUCUCCGCUCUUUUCUUUUCUUUACUCAGUUCUUCAACUUUGCAGGCUCGAUCAACCAAUACUACAAAUUCUUUUAACUCUAAAACCCCAACAUGCAAUCUGAUAUCUUCGUUUAAUCCCUCUUCGAAUCUUUUACACAUAAUAGCCUCUGUGGGCACACAUUCCUGGGCGUAUUUGCUGAGCCUAACAAACUCCCGUUCAUAUUCUGCCACUGACCUUCGACCCUGUUUCAAUUCGAGAAACUCCUUGCGUUUCUGAUCAAUAAACCGCUGGCUUAUAUAUUUCUUUCUGAAUUCCUCCUGGAAGAAGUCCCAAGUAACUCUUUCUUUCGGAACCACCGAUAUUAAUGUUUUCCACCAACGGUAUGCUGAAUCCUUCAGUAAAGACACAUCACAUUUCAAACAUUCCUCAAGAGUACAGGAUAAUUCAUCAAAUACCCGGAUAGUAUUUUCAAGCCAAAACUCUGCUUUUUCCGGAUCAUCAUCAACAUUAGCCAUGAAAUCUUCAGCCUCAUGCUUUUGAAUUCUGUCAACUCGUGGUUUACUUGAUCUUACCAACCCAACACUUUGUGGAGCUACGGGGACCGGGUGGAGGAGGUGGAACAUUUAGAUUUGCACGAACAUAUUCUGUAUACCAAUCACUCAUCAUCCGAAGGAAGGCUUCUCGAGUCUCAUCCUAGCUAUGUGUCUCAUGUCUACUCUCUUCAUGCGCGGUCCCUUGUGCGGGAGCCGGCGUGUUACUUUUAACAUCAUCUUCCAUACUUCGGUCAGGAUUCAUUUACUAUAUAAAACAAAAUUUUAAAUUGUCAGAAAUCAUCACACUAUCACAAUAUAUUUAUGGCAUGUAUAGACUGACUUUCACACAUAUUUUAUUGGUCCGAGAACCGACUAAACCGUAGCUCUGAUACCAUUAAAAUGUAACACCCCUUACCCGUAUUCCUUAACGGAACAGAGUAUGAGGUAUUACUAUUUUUUUUUAAAUUUCGACAGCAUUUCUGCUUGUUUUUACAUACAACCCCCUGUAAGUUUUCAAUCACACUUUCAAACAGAUCCAAUAAUCCAACCAAAAAUAGUUGUAUGAUCAAACACAAUUUAUUUAAUAAUAAACACCAACAUUUUAAACCGAAACAUAUAUAUUAGUUUACGCCACGAUACAUAAAGUCGUCUAUACAUGCCAUGUUUCCAAAAUAUGAGUUGCAAAAUACCCAAGCGUUGAUGAUAGUGUGAAUGAUUAUCUGACUCCGCCCAAGUUCCAAGUUGAUUGAUGUCACUAUAAUCAAGGGGGCAAUAAAAAUGAGUAAGCAUAUAGCUUAGUAAGUAAACAUAUGACAAAUAAAUAAAUUCCUCACAUGAUUACAUAGUAACAUAAUUUUAUUCACACAUAAAUUUCAUUGUUUGUUCAAUUUCCAGCAAGCUGUUUUUCUGCGCCAUGGUCACUAAUUUAUUUUUAUCUGGGGCUACAGGGCUCCAAAUUGGAUUACGUAAAUUUUCCCUAAAACUAGACUCAUAUACCUUACCACCAUAAAAUUUUCAGAUUUUUUGGUCAGGCCAAUAAGUACAGUUUAUUCUUUAAACUUUCCUCUGUUUCACUGCCCGAUAGUCCUGACCUCCCCUUACUAAAAUUCACUUAACUCCCUGUAAAAAAUUAAAAAAAUGUUCUCAUUUAUUUCUAUUAAAAAUAGACUCAUUAAGUAAUCUAGGAAUAUAAAUUUCAAACAAUAAUUAUUUUUGUACAAUUUUUGGUGAUUUUCCAAAGUUGGAACAGGGGAUUUCGAAAUCCAUCCAGCCCUAUCUCAAAUAAAUUCAAAUAUCCCCAAAUAUACAACUUUUUUGUUUGCUCUGUUUCUUUCAUAUGAAAAUAGACUCACUCAGAUUUAAUUUCAUAUAUUAUUCAACCGUCAAUUCAUUUUCCAUCAUUUAUGGUGAUUUUUCAAAGUUUCCUAACUGUUGUUGUUCAAAACAGUGUUGUAUUUAAAUUGUCUCUUUUGUACUCUUGAUAUUUCCUCCCAUCUUACCCAUGGGUUGAUUAAUUAUCAAACCCAAUAUUCCUCCCAUAAACUUGUCCACCACAUAUAAAUAUUCACCUUCCCAAUUUACUCGUUGAACACUCGGAAUGUUAACCGUUAUCGGUGGAUUCAGCACUUAGCAACCACCAAUGAGUCGGGGAAUCAGCACUUAACAACCCCUUUCACAUUUAAGAUACGUGGGUUCAGCACUUAGCAACCACCAAUGAGUCGGGGAAUCACUAAUGAGUCGGGGAAUCAGCACUUAGGAACCCCUUUCACAUUUAAGAUACGGUGGGUUCAGCACUUAGCAACCACCAAUGAGUCGGGGAAUCAGCACUUAGCAACCCCUCGGGGGAAUCAGCACUUAGCAACCCCCUUCACAUUUAAGAUACGGUGGAAUCAGCACUUAGCAACCACCAAUGAAUAGGAGAAUCAGUACUUAGCAACCCCUUUUUUAUUCAAUGUAAUCUGGCCGAUUCCAAGUGUUCAACCAGAAACCGUGUUUUUUCAACACUUUACCACCUUUCCCUACUUAGCCACAUUUUUAGUAUCCUAGCCAAAUAUUUAUUCUAUGUUCAAAUAAAUCUCAACACAUAUCAAAUAAUAUCAAAAUAAUGCAUUAUUUCACAUGUUUACUUACCUCGAUGCAAAAUAUCGUAAUUUUGUAAUUUACUCCACUACUUUCUCUUUUCCUCGUUUGAGGUAGUCUUCUCGUCUUUCUUGAUCUAUAAUAGCAAAUUUAACUCAUUUAAUGUUCACAUUUAUUAAAAUAAUCCACCACCCAACUUUUUGAAAAAUUACAAUAUUGCCCCCAAACUUUUGCAUAAUUACACUUUUGUCCCCAAGCUCGGAAAUUAAACUUCAUCACUUGUUCUUAUGUUUUAUGACAUGCUGAACAUUUUUCCCUUCUAUGGCAACAUCAAAUUCUCACUCUAACACAUACUUUUGAACAUUAACUAUUUUUACCGAUUAUGUCAAUUUAUCCGUUUUCAUUUAAAAUCGCUUAGCAAAAGUUUUUUUAACAUAAGUUCUAGCUACAUAUUCCACCAUAAAAUAGCAAAACAAACACAUUUCACCUAUGGGUAUUUUUCCAAAUAUGAACCCUAGCACGAAUUAUUGCUAGAAUAAGCUAAAUUAAGCUACCGGGACUCCAAAAACGUAAAGAACAUUAAAAACGGGGCUUGGGAUCACUUACUAUGGAGCUUGGAAGCUUGAAAACCCUAACUAUGGCUUCCCCC